This 397-nucleotide ribosomal RNA is filed under the name uncultured Diaporthe. RNAcentral's name for it is "partial small subunit ribosomal RNA". It matches the Rfam family "Eukaryotic small subunit ribosomal RNA", at positions 30 to 432 of the family's 1831-position model. Lineage: Eukaryota; Fungi; Ascomycota; Sordariomycetes; Diaporthales; Diaporthaceae. The record is from RNAcentral.
GCUUGUCUCAAAGAUUAAGCCAUGCAAGUCUAAGUUUAAGCACAUAAACGGCGAAACUGCGAAUGGCUCAUUAAAUCAGUUAUCGUAUAUUUGAUAGUACCUACUACAUGGAUAACCGUGGUAAUUCUAGAGCUAAUACAUGCUUAAAAUCCCGACUUCGGAAGGGAUGUAUUUAUUAGAUUAAAAACCAAUGCCCUUCGGGGCUCACUGGUGAUUCAUAAUAACUUCUCGAAUCGCAUGGCCUUGCGCCGGCGAUGGUUCAUUCAAAUUUCUGCCCUAUCAACUUUCGACGGCUGGGUCUUGGCCAGCCGUGGUUACAACGGGUAACGGAGGGUUAGGGCUUGACCCCGGAGAAGGAGCCUGAGAAACGGCUACUACAUCCAAGGAAGGCAGCAGG